GGGGGGGUCAGCCGUCUGUGGGCACCGGGCGCAGGUCUCUGCGCGGCGCUCGCUUGGCGCGUCACCGCGCGCUGUCCGCCGGGAACCGGGCGCGAUUUCGCGAGACCCUCUCCGCUCACGUGCUUCCGGGAAGUGACGCGCGUCAGAAAGCUCGUGCGGCGCUCGGGCCGGAGCUGGUCCCGCCCAGUCACGUGACGGCAGGCGUUGGCCACAAUUUCAGGCUGUGGCUGUGUUAGAGACGCUCGCAGGACGUUUCAAGACCACGUCUUCUGAAAACGAGGAUCAGUCGGUCUGUGAAGAAAACUUUCGGGACACGAGCAUGUACCGAAGGCGCCAUGAAAAACGAUGACUUGGAAACCUCUGUAAAUGAGCACAGCAAUGAUGGAACCACAGGGCUGCGGUCUACGCUGAUGUUUUAAACACAGCAGACGCGGGAAACUCUUCAGGGUGCGAUCCCAGGCUACCUUAGAUGCUCGUCACCAGAUUCUCUGUGUGCCCGGGACGCGCAGGGCAGACGGGCUGGGUGAGCACAUGUCCCUUCCUCUUGAGGUGCGAGCCCACCCACUCACCUCCCCGUUCUGCGCGUUAACCGGUCGCCUCUACGCUGUGUGGUCUUCAGUAAAAUCGUGACUCGGCGAAAGGUGGCACGUAAUUUGGACUCUCAAACCUAACUCGGGAUUGACCAUUUGUUUGCCAGAUCUCAGUGGCCGCAAGUCACAAAGAAUGUGCCGGAGACAGUAGCCCAACUUCCUGCCUUUACAGAUGAAGAAAUUGCUCUGCAGACAGCAAGUGGUUUGCUCCCGGCCACAAAAGCAAUUGGCACUCUCUGGUGGCUGCUGUUGAUGAUGAUGAUGGCUGGCCUUCGAAAGUCUGCUUUGGAGCUGACUCUUGAGGAGCAGGGGGUCUGUGUCCUCUCCUUCGGAGGGUCUUGGCUGCAGGGGACGGGGGCCACUCUAAGGACCUCGUCCUGAUUGGGUCACCUGCAGACACCGUUUCCAGAGAAGAUCACGUUCACAGGAACCAGAGAUUAGGACUCCGGUGUAUCUUUCUGAGAGAUGCAGUUCAACCCAUCAUGUCCCCCCCGCCGCAAGGAAAAAGAACGAAUGUUGCACACAUAAUUACAUCUGUGAGCAAAUGACUCCCUUUUGAUGUGCAAAAGCAGGAUUCGAUGUGUAAACUGGGCUCAGUGAUUUCUCACUCGGGAACAGCACUUUUCAACAACGGGACGGACAGGGCGCGUGCAGACCCAAGAGUCACAAACGACUGUGUGACAUGCCCAUACCAGCCAUCACAAGAGUGCCUCGUGCCGUGCUGGGCGGGGGGCACCGCCCAACUUCGGGACUGUGCUUCCUGCCAGGACUGUCCUCGGCCCUGCGUAGCUCAGGUGACAUUGGCCACCUUGCUGUCACUUAGCAGCCAAUGUGGCUGGGGAGUUGAGGGUGCCAGGGCUGAGUGAGGUCCCUUGGUGUAACUGGAAACCAAAAGAAUCACCAAGGGGUGGUGACAGUUACUCACAAAGAUGGGAAAAAUAACGAAAAUAACGGAGCCAGUGACGACAAGGAGUGGAGAGUGGAAGCAGGCAGCUUGCAGGAAACCACAUCCGUGCGGGGAUUGUGCCGAGGCCCCAGGGGCUGGGGUGGAAGCCAGCCUGCCUCGUGUGGGGCGUCUGCCGGUGUGACGGGGACGCUGCUGCGUCUGGGUGACCCAGUGACGUGCUUCCUGCCUUUUCUCCCGCCGCGAAGGGCUCCUCGGUGCUGCGUUCUGCCAUCAACCAGCAUCAGUGUGGCGACGGGAUGUGGAAUGGGGGCAAGUGUCUUAUUUUGGUAGAUUCACGUUUCUACAGAGUUGACUUUUCCCAAAGCUCUUUUACAAGGGGCUCGUCAAAUGGUACCUUCAGGGUGACCAUAUCAGAAGUGAUGUGAAGGUGACGCUCAGAUUGUCGUGUGCGCGACCCGCCUGGACUCCGGGCUGUCUGCGCCAUCUCUGGCAAGAGCGAUUGUCCAGAGAACCACCCGCCCUGUCGUGGACGGUGUCGCGUCCCCAGGACCAGCUGAUGCUCUGUGACCCUCCCCGGGGAAGCGCCGUGUGGGGUGUGCGUGCCCAGUCCGCGUGACCGCGGGAGCAGACGCAGUCCAGGUGUUUCCUUCUGGGGUCUGGACAGGCUGGCCGCAAACGUCCACGGCGGGUCGGAACCAGCCCUUUCCCUUCGUCCCCACCGUUCACCUCUGAGUCCCAGGCCCCAGGCUUGCCGCCUCCUCCAGGGUGGCUCCACUGACUGCUGGCAGCGAGACUGAUCAGUACGUUUGUCCAGGAGCCCCCUCCACUCCAAGUGAAGGAAGCUCGGGCAAAACCAGAGCAUUUUCUCCACCACACGUACUUCGAGAAACUUGGAGGGUGGUAUUUUCCCACAUACGAGGAAUGAGGCACACAGGACAGGCUCCUGACGCGAGGGGCUGGCAAAUGUGUUUCGUUUUGGAAGAUGCUGCGUUAGGAUCACGCGGUGGUGAGAUUAAGCUGCUGUUUCGGGUCACCGUUCAGUAAAAGGCACAGGCCCUUCACACGUGCACCUCACAUGCUUCGGCGUGUGCGUGGCUGACAAGAAGGGUGGAGGGGCUGCUUAUUAUUAUUUUCUGUUUCAUAACUCAACCGGAUACGCCAAGGGAUGAAAACAGGGUUUUAUAGGUGGGACUGGGUUUAGUGCUUUUCCUAUAAAAUAAUUUCCACAAAUUUAGCUUCAGGCUCUCUUCUCUGUCUGAUAUAGGAGACGGGAUUCACAAUACAUUUUUCUGGACCUCCAUAAAAUGCACACUCCUUAUGACCAACGAAAACCUCUUGGCCAGACUCCAGCCCUGCUGUCGGCAUCUGCUGCCCCUCCUGGCGGCCUCCCCCUCCACCCCUGUUCUUCCAUUCGAGGUUCGAGUGCCUUUUCAUUACGGACACGCCGACUUCUGGCUUCCGUGGCUGUUGGAUGCGUCCUGUCCACGUCCGCAUAGCACGUGUGUGCCUCAGGAUGACCCUUCACUGGACUGCGGGCAGCUCAGGGACCAGUGUGUUGUUCAUUUCGGGUCCGACCUUGGGCUUCGGAGGGGGCCUGAGGGCCAGUCUCGCUGUGCACAUCCCUGAAAGUAAACUUUAUUAGAAGAACCUGGGUCCCCCUCCCCUCCUCUGCCCCUCCCUCCCUGCCCCUCCCUCUCCUGCCUCCUGCCCUUUUUGCUCCUCCUUGUUGCCGAAAUUCCAUAUAAUCUAAGGAUCAUUGAAUAUAAUUAAAAAAAUCACAAAUAUGAAGUUAAUAUAUUAGCUUUCUUUAAUUUUGAUGCCUAGGUAAGAAAUAGUGAGUGGGAAAACAAUGAAUGACUUUGUCAUUCAACUAAUACAAAACUAGUUUUAUUCUCGCAAGAUGAAUAUACACAUAAAUGAGAAAAAAAUAAAAUACAAGGAAUAUUUAGGCCCAAUAA
Molecule: long non-coding RNA, 3455 nt
Organism: Neofelis nebulosa (Clouded leopard)
Lineage: Eukaryota; Metazoa; Chordata; Mammalia; Carnivora; Felidae
Exons: 4
Source: RefSeq, a predicted model, not a curated record